This 570-nucleotide ribosomal RNA is filed under the name uncultured bacterium. RNAcentral describes it as "partial 16S ribosomal RNA". It matches the Rfam family "Bacterial small subunit ribosomal RNA", at positions 355 to 918 of the family's 1533-position model. The record is from RNAcentral.
UGGGGAAUUUUGGACAAUGGGCGAAAGCCUGAUCCAGCAAUGCCGCGUGUGUGAAGAAGGCCUUCGGGUUGUAAAGCACUUUUGUCCGGAAAGAAAUCCUUGGCUCUAAUACAGUCGGGGGAUGACGGUACCGGAAGAAUAAGCACCGGCUAACUACGUGCCAGCAGCCGCGGUAAUACGUAGGGUGCAAGCGUUAAUCGGAAUUACUGGGCGUAAAGCGUGCGCAGGCGGUUUGCUAAGACCGAUGUGGAAUCCCCGGGCUCAACCUGGGAACUGCAUUGGUGACUGGCAGGCUAGAGUAUGGCAGAGGGGGGUAGAAUUCCACGUGUAGCAGUGAAAUGCGUAGAGAUGUGGAGGAAUACCGAUGGCGAAGGCAGCCCCCUGGGCCAAUACUGACGCUCAUGCACGAAAGCGUGGGGAGCAAACAGGAUUAGAUACCCUGGUAGUCCACGCCCUAAACGAUGUCAACUAGUUGUUGGGGAUUCAUUUCCUUAGUAACGUAGCUAACGCGUGAAGUUGACCGCCUGGGGAGUACGGUCGCAAGAUUAAAACUCAAAUGAAUUGACGGGG